This 389-nucleotide ribosomal RNA is filed under the name Stramenopiles sp. MAST-1C. Its description in RNAcentral is "partial small subunit ribosomal RNA". It matches the Rfam family "Eukaryotic small subunit ribosomal RNA", at positions 582 to 975 of the family's 1831-position model. The record is from RNAcentral.
AUUCCAGCUCCAAUAGCGUAUAUUAAUGUUGUUGCAGUUAAAAAGCUCGUAGUUGGAUUUCUGGUGGGAGCGGCCGGUCCGCCGUAAGGUGUGUACUUGGUUGUCUCCUGUCAUCCUUGUGGGAACUGCUCUGGCAUUAAGUUGUCGGGGUUAGGGAACACAUCGUUUACUGUGAAAAAAUUAGAGUGUUUAAAGCAGGCUUAUGCCGUUGAAUACAUUAGCAUGGAAUAAUAAGAUAGGACUUUGGCGUCUAUUUUGUUGGUUUGCACACCAAGGUAAUGAUUAAUAGGGUCAGUUGGGGGCAUUAGUAUUUAAGUGUCAGAGGUGAAAUUCUUGGAUUGCUUAAAGACUAACUUCUGCGAAAGCAUUUGCCAAGGAUGUUUUCAUUG